AAAAGGUUAGCACCGUCCCAAUCGAUGUCGAGCUCCCGACAUUAAACGAAGCGCUGCGUGGAAGGAAACCCACGACCUUUAAUCAUUUUAUUUUCUUUUUUGUUUGUUUUCAUUUUUAUUAUUUUUAUCCCAUGUUUGUUAUUAUUUUUUUUUGUCUUUUCUAUUAUUAGUAUUACUAUUACUAUUAUUACUACCUAUUCUAAUACUAACAUGUG
RNAcentral lists this long non-coding RNA (215 nucleotides) under Lathyrus oleraceus (garden pea). Its description in RNAcentral is "Pisum sativum (pea) long non-coding RNA (PSAT_LNC025296)". Lineage: Eukaryota; Viridiplantae; Streptophyta; Magnoliopsida; Fabales; Fabaceae. The record is from RNAcentral.